Molecule: ribosomal RNA, 372 nt
Filed under: uncultured organism
Description: partial 16S ribosomal RNA
Rfam family: Bacterial small subunit ribosomal RNA
Source: RNAcentral
GGGGGGGCAAGCGUUGUUCGGAUUUACUGGGCGUAAAGGGCUCGUAGGCGGCCACCUAAGUCGGUUGUGAAAUCCCUCGGCUCAACCGGGGAACUGCGACCGAUACUGGGAGGCUUGAAGCCGGGAGAGGGAUGCGGAAUUCCAGGUGUAGCGGUGAAAUGCGUAGAUAUCUGGAGGAACACCCGUGGCGAAGGCGGCAUCCUGGACCGGUCUUGACGCUGAGGAGCGAAAGCUAGGGUAGCAAACGGGAUUAGAUACCCCGGUAGUCCUAGCCCUAAACGAUGAAUGCUUGGUGUGGCGGGUAUCGAUCCCCUGCCCGUGCCGUAGCUAACGCGUUAAGCAUUCCGCCUGGGGAGUACGGUCGCAAGGCUG